Molecule: non-coding RNA, 377 nt
Filed under: Homo sapiens (human)
Lineage: Eukaryota; Metazoa; Chordata; Mammalia; Primates; Hominidae
Source: RNAcentral
ACAUGGGUCUGCAGCUACUGAGCUGACAGCAAGGACUAAAAUGGGAGCACUGUAGAGGAAAAAAUUUUCAGCCUGACCAAUAUGGAGAAACCCCAUCUCUACUAAAAAUACAGAAUUAGAGGAGAGAAGGUUCCAAGAUGGCCAAAUAGGAACAGCUCCAGUCUACAGCUCCCAGCGUGAGCAACGCAGAAGACGGGUGACUUCUGCACUUCCAACUGAGGAUAUAUGAUUGUGUGGCCUGACAAUCUCAGAAAGUAAAAGCAAAGAAAUUGAAAGACAUGGAAAGAACUAGGCCGGGACCAGCACUGGGCCUUAAUAACCAGUUCACUGAGAUGUUGCCAGGAUGAAGAUGAGAACACAGUGUCAACUCUCUGAGA